GCUAGGCACGGUGGCGCACACCUGUAAUCCCAGCAACUCGGGAGGCUGAGGCAGGAGGAUCACAAGUUCAAGGCCAGCCUCAGCAAUUUAGAAAGACCCUGUCUCAA
RNAcentral lists this small RNA (107 nucleotides) under Marmota monax (woodchuck). The record is from RNAcentral. Lineage: Eukaryota; Metazoa; Chordata; Mammalia; Rodentia; Sciuridae.